UCCAUCGUGGUCUAACGGUUAUGAUUCGCGUCUCUCACACGCGCGACCGGGGUUCGACUCCCCGCGAUGGAA
Non-coding RNA from Auricularia subglabra TFB-10046 SS5, 72 nucleotides. The record is from Rfam. NCBI's taxonomy places the organism in Eukaryota, Fungi, Basidiomycota, Agaricomycetes, Auriculariales, Auriculariaceae.